RNAcentral lists this ribosomal RNA (505 nucleotides) under uncultured Geobacter sp. RNAcentral describes it as "bacterial SSU rRNA". It matches the Rfam family "Bacterial small subunit ribosomal RNA", at positions 335 to 831 of the family's 1533-position model. The record is from RNAcentral. Lineage: Bacteria; Pseudomonadati; Thermodesulfobacteriota; Desulfuromonadia; Geobacterales; Geobacteraceae.
ACUCCUACGGGAGGCAGCAGUGGGGAAUUUUGCGCAAUGGGGGAAACCCUGACGCAGCAACGCCGCGUGAGUGAUGAAGGCCCUUGGGUCGUAAAGCUCUGACAGAGGGAAAGAAGUGUAGAGUGGCUAAUAUCCACAUUACUUGACGGUACCCUCAAAGGAAGCACCGGCUAACUCCGUGCCAGCAGCCGCGGUAAUACGGGGGGUGCAAGCGUUGUUCGGAUUUAUUGGGCGUAAAGCGCGUGUAGGCGGCUUUAUAAGUCUGAUGUGAAAGCCCUGGGCUCAACCCGGGAAGUGCAUUGGAUACUGUAAGACUUGAAUACGGGAGAGGGCAGUGGAAUUCCUAGUGUAGGAGUGAAAUCCGUAGAUAUUAGGAGGAACACCGGUGGCGAAGGCGGCUGCCUGGACCGAUAUUGACGCUGAGACGCGAAAGCGUGGGUAGCAAACAGGAUUAGAUACCCUGGUAGUCCACGCCGUAAACGAUGAGAACUAGGUGUCGCGGGUA